This 388-nucleotide ribosomal RNA is filed under the name uncultured bacterium. Its description in RNAcentral is "bacterial SSU rRNA". It matches the Rfam family "Bacterial small subunit ribosomal RNA", at positions 28 to 418 of the family's 1533-position model. The record is from RNAcentral.
GACGAACGCUGGCGGCGUGCUUAACACAUGCAAGUCGAACGGUGACGGAGAGCUUGCUCUCCUGAUCAGUGGCGAACGGGUGAGUAACACGUGGGCAACCUGCCCAGACUUCGGGAUAACGCUUCGAAAGAGGUGCUAAUACCGGAUACGAGCUCCUUGGGCAUCCUUGGAGUUGGAAAAGUUUUUCGGUCUGGGAUGGGCCCGCGGCCUAUCAGCUAGUUGGUGAGGUAACGGCUCACCAAGGCGACGACGGGUAGCCGGCCUGAGAGGGCGACCGGCCACACUGGGACUGAGACACGGCCCAGACUCCUACGGGAGGCAGCAGUGGGGAAUAUUGCGCAAUGGGCAAAGCCUGACGCAGCAACGCCGCGUGAGGGAUGACGGCCUC